This 495-nucleotide ribosomal RNA is filed under the name uncultured bacterium. RNAcentral describes it as "partial 16S ribosomal RNA". It matches the Rfam family "Bacterial small subunit ribosomal RNA", at positions 30 to 507 of the family's 1533-position model. The record is from RNAcentral.
UGAACGCUGGCGGCGUGCCUAAUACAUGCACGUCGAGCGAACAGACGAGGAGCUUGCUCCUCUGACGUUAGCGGCGGACGGGUGAGUAACACGUGGAUAACCUACCUAUAAGACUGGGAUAACUUCGGGAAACCGGAGCUAAUACCGGAUAAUAUAUUGAACCGCAUGGUUCAAUAGUGAAAGACGGUUUUGCUGUCACUUAUAGAUGGAUCCGCGCCGCAUUUGCUAGUUGGUAAGGUAACGGCUUACCAAGGCGACGAUGCGUAGCCGACCUGAGAGGGUGAUCCGCCACACUGGAACUGAGACACGGUCCAGACUCCUACGGGAGGCAGCAGUAGGGAAUCUUCCGCAAUGGGCGAAAGCCUGACGGAGCAACGCCGCGUGAGUGAUGAAGGUCUUCGGAUCGUAAAACUCUGUUAUUAGGGAAGAACAAAUGUGUAAGUAACUAUGCACGUCUUGACGGUACCUAAUCAGAAAGCCACGGCUAACUACGUG